CUUUGGCAACCAAUGCCUAAAGAUUUAAAAGCUUUUAAAGGUGCCAAAAUAUAUUACCCUCGUAUAAGGCUGAUAUUUUCGUUUACAUGGAGAGUUUCGUGAUUUCAAUUUCCCGCGAAUGGGCCCAAGUCUAUCCAUCUUUUAAAUUCUGUAGUACUUGACAGACGUAAAGAAUUAAAUGCACGGUAAGAAUGUGUAUUUAUAAAACAUUUUGCAUAAUCAAUUUGCUUUUUAUUUAUUAACCGAGA
RNAcentral lists this long non-coding RNA (248 nucleotides) under Mytilus galloprovincialis (Mediterranean mussel). The record is from RNAcentral. Lineage: Eukaryota; Metazoa; Mollusca; Bivalvia; Mytilida; Mytilidae.